Molecule: long non-coding RNA, 2770 nt
Organism: Xenopus laevis (African clawed frog)
Lineage: Eukaryota; Metazoa; Chordata; Amphibia; Anura; Pipidae
Exons: 4
Source: RefSeq, a predicted model, not a curated record
GUAAAAGGGCAACAUUUACUUAAAUAUACAUUCCAGUUUGAGCGCCUGGUCCUGGAUGAUGUAUUUACAGAUAAUACACCCUGCACCUAUUCAGAGUGCCAUUCACCCAUCUGCUGCUUUAACAGUGUGCUGAGCUGCUGCCACUAGUCAUCCCCUAUGGCUGCUAUAAGAUAAAAAGGCUAUGGCACAUGUUCUUGUGACAGAAAGUACAGCUACAAUACAGAAAACAAAUACAGAAGAGAAUUUACACGUUUUCACUUUACUGCACAAGAACACAACCCACAGUGACUGCAAGGGAUCCCUGUGAGACAGAAGAGGAUGGUGCCUUGGCGCUCCUAGCAUCCACUUGGGUUGGUGUUAUUUUCAGCAAACCAGAGCACUGGACCAGGAUCUCAAGCAAGUCAUUAUAAUUACUGGGCAGUGCCUAAAAAAUUAGCACCCCUUAGUAUUUAAACUUUUUUUUUCUCUGUCAGUUAAAAUAUGCUGUUUAAAUAUGACUUUAUAUGCCAUUGGUUUAUACUCUUUGAGUAUGUACAGUAAAGGUUGUAGCAGGUUUUAGGCUUCAAAACUAGCUCAGAAAUCAGAAUAAAAUGGUAAGUAUGAGAAGAGCACCCAGCAGGACAAAUAGGAGGGGGGAAAUGGGACCUCAUGGCUGCCUGAAAUGACAUGCAUAGAGUAGCACAUGUGAGGUUGUUAGCCAGGCCUCCCCAAGGAUUUUUUCUGACAUACUUCAGUCUAUUUUUUACGUAUACUCUGUUUGCUGCAGGUUUUUUGGGAGUGUAAUAAAAACUAUUUUAUGUAACAAAAUGCUGCCCAUGUGGGUGCUAUCACAAUGACCUUUGCAAAUCUCAUGACAAAUAGCUACCUGCACAUUUGUUGGGUACAAAUGCAAUAUAUUUUGUCUGUUAUAUAUGUUGUGGUUGCAAUGUCACUGUGUGUUGCUGUGUUUGCCCUAGAUACACAACCAUGCAUAGCUAACAAAUAUUAACUGCCUGGACUCCAGAGAAGGGCAGAAACACAAGUAAGAACAUCCUGCCAAAGCUAAGAUUAUAACAUAGUGUACACACACACACACACACGCAUACGUAGAUAGUAUAAAAACACAUAUCUGUUGAAACCUUGAAAAGCAGUUUUCUGCUCUCUUUUAUACUCUCCCAAUAAGCCGAAUGUUGGCUGCUUUACAGAUCCAUUAGAGAUUACUUUGUAUGCAAAUAUUUUCAUUCUGCUGCUGUACUAUAACAACUAUGACUAGGCUAAUUUAUUUACUUGCAAUUUCGCUGGGUUGGUUUAUUUCUGCUCCUUGUAUAGACCUGUGUCAUAUUUCAAAAAGCCUUCAUUGCUUUAUUUUUAUCCAGUGGAAUAAUUUAUGUUUGGAUAUUUAUCCAGGAUAAACAUAUCUUGUGAUCUGAGGUGAUCCUGCCGCCUGAGGCAUCUUGCUGCUGCCCCCCUACCCCGUACUCACCUUUUUGGUGCCGGAAUUCUAGCAUAGCAAAAAUGUGUUUUCUGAGGUGAUGCAUCACGCUACACCAUCUGGAAAUUAUUAUUAACAUAUUGCGCAACUCUCUUCUCUGUGUAUUCAGAGGCUAAGACCACUGAUUCCAGUGGAAGCAAACAUGCUACAAUUCCAUUCUUGAUAAUUCCAUUCUUGACAAUUCCAUACUUUUGGAAAAGGCCUUUUGCACUUCCGGCAUGAUAGUAUCCCAUGUAAAAAACAAGGUCCAAGGAGAACUGGAAUGCUGAAAUGGGAAUGAUAGUACUUGACUGCCCUACAUGGAGGCCUGACCUCAUCCCAACUGAACACCCGUGGGAUGAAUCGGAAAUGUCAUUGGGUAUUAUUCCUAAUUUAUAUAGCAUUUUCUACAUCUUUUUUUUUUGCAAGAUUGUUUAUAAUUCACAUCAAUCCCUAUACCGGUAGCUUACAGUCUAAGGUUGAUACCACACACAUACCAUAUAACCAGCCAAUUAACCUGUAGGGAUAAUUUACUAAGCUGAAUGCAGGCUGCAAAGUCCCCAAAAAGGCAUUUUCUGCAAUUUUCACAAUGCGUUUGGCUGUUUCAGAGUGCAGACAGUGUCGGAAAAAACCCAGUGGGCCCCGACCCUUAUGGGCCGGGCCAGACCCCUCUUCAGAUACUCCAAUCCUGCGGAAAAAAAUUCUUUCUGCGCCGCGCAGUAAUAAGGGGCAUGCUCUUGCACCGCUUAUCGCUGGUGCACUUCUGUCCCCAGGGUAAUUAUAUGAGCCCCAGUAUGUUGUUGGAGUGAGGGGGAAAGCCAAAGCAUCCAGGUGAAAGCCAUGCUUGUAGAUCAUCAAAAUUUAACCCAGGGUCCUAGCUCUGCCAUUUGAAAGUGUGAAUCACCACAUUGCCAUGGUGUUAUCUUAAUGAACAAAUUAAAUAAUUUAUUAAGUAAUUCAUUGAUUGCAGGUUCCAUGCUAACUUUUCCAGAGGCCCAUAGCUGAUUGCCUGAGCUCUAUUAUUUGCCUUUCUAUUUGUCUACUAGGACACUGGCACACAAGGAAAUGUGUUAGUUGUGGAUUAAUCUGUGCUACCGUGGGCAACAAAUCUCCUGAUAAUGCCUUCCUCCAAGUAAAACACAUUACUUGCGGCAAUCCUGGUAAAUCACAUGAAAUUGCCUUCAUCUUUUCCCCCCAUUAAGCUGGGCUAUUUAUCUCUUUUGUGUAGGUCAUCGCUAGAUUUACACUGGCACUGUUUGGAACUAAGGGGUCCGUUUACUAAAGUGCGUUAAAAAUAUUCGCACAAUAUAUAGACAGAAU